RNAcentral lists this ribosomal RNA (781 nucleotides) under Lecanactis abietina. Its description in RNAcentral is "SSU rRNA". It matches the Rfam family "Eukaryotic small subunit ribosomal RNA", at positions 55 to 858 of the family's 1831-position model. The record is from RNAcentral. Lineage: Eukaryota; Fungi; Ascomycota; Arthoniomycetes; Arthoniales; Roccellaceae.
UCGUCUACGUUAAGCRCACUAUACCGUGAAACUGCGAAUGGCUCAUUAAAUCAGUUAUCGUUUAUUUGAUAGUACCCUACUACUUGGAUAACCGUGGUAAUUCUAGAGCUAAUACAUGCCAAAAACCCCGACUUCGGAAGGGGUGUAUUUAUUAGAUAAAAAGCCAACGCCCUUCGGGGCUCCCUGGUGAUUCAUGAUAACUUCACGAACCGCAUGGCCUUGCGCCGGCGGUGGUUCAUUCAAAUUUCUGCCCUAUCAACUUUCGAUUGUUGGGUAUUGGCCAACAAUGGUUACGACGGGUGACGGAGAAUUAGGGUUCGAUUCCGGAGAGGGAGCCUGAGAAACGGCUACCACAUCCAAGGAAGGCAGCAGGCGCGCAAAUUACCCAAUCCCGACGCGGGAGGUAGUGACAAUAAAUACUGAUACAGGGCUCUUUUGGGUCUUGUAAUUGGAAUGAGUACAAUUUAAAUCCCUUAACGAGGAACAAUUGGAGGGCAAGUCUGGUGCCAGCAGCCGCGGUAAUUCCAGCUCCAAUAGCGUAUAUUAAAGUUGUUGAGGUUAAAAAGCUCGUAGUUGAACCUUGGGCUCGGCUGUCCGGUCCGCCUCACCGCGUGCACUGGACUGGUCGGGCCUUUUUUCCUGGAGAACCGCAUGCCCUUCACUGGGUGUGUCGGGGAACCAGGACUUUUACCGUGAACAAAUCAGAUCGCUCAAAGAAGGCCUAUGCUCGAAUAUACUAGCAUGGAAUAAUAGAAUAGGACGUGCGGUUCUAUUUUGUUGG